This 467-nucleotide ribosomal RNA is filed under the name uncultured bacterium. Its description in RNAcentral is "bacterial SSU rRNA". It matches the Rfam family "Bacterial small subunit ribosomal RNA", at positions 329 to 794 of the family's 1533-position model. The record is from RNAcentral.
CUCCAGACUCCUACGGGAGGCAGCAGUGAGGAAUAUUGGUCAAUGGACGAGAGUCUGAACCAGCCAAGUAGCGUGAAGGAUGACUGCCCUAUGGGUUGUAAACUUCUUUUAUAUGGGAAUAAAACAGGGUAUGCAUACCCUCUUGUAUGUACCAUAUGAAUAAGGAUCGGCUAACUCCGUGCCAGCAGCCGCGGUAAUACGGAGGAUCCGAGCGUUAUCCGGAUUUAUUGGGUUUAAAGGGUGCGUAGGCGGGCGCUUAAGUCAGCGGUAAAAUUGCGGGGCUCAACCUCGUCGAGCCGUUGAAACUGGGUGCCUUGAGUGGGCGAGAAGUACGCGGAAUGCGUGGUGUAGCGGUGAAAUGCAUAGAUAUCACGCAGAACUCCGAUUGCGAAGGCAGCGUACCGGCGCCCAACUGACGCUGAAGCACGAAGGCGUGGGUAUCGAACAGGAUUAGAUACCCGAGUAGA